UUAGUAACGCGUGGGAACAUACCCUUUUCUAAGGAAUAGCCACUGGAAACGGUGAGUAAUACCUUAUACGCCCUUCGGGGGAAAGAUUUAUCGGAGAAGGAUUGGCCCGCGUUACAUUAGAUAGUUGGUGGGGUAACGGCCUACCAAGUCUACGAUCUAUAGCUGGUUUGAGAGGAUGAUCAGCAACACUGGGACUGAGACACGGCCCAGACUCCUACGGGAGGCAGCAGUGGGGAAUCUUAGACAAUGGGCGCAAGCCUGAUCUAGCCAUGCCGCGUGAGUGAUGAAGGCCUUAGGGUCGUAAAGCUCUUUCGCCAGAGAUGAUAAUGACAGUAUCUGGUAAAGAAACCCCGGCUAACUCCGUGCCAGCAGCCGCGGAUAAUACGGAGGGGGUUAGCGUUGUUCGGAAUUACUGGGCGUAAAGCGCACGUAGGCGGGAUCAGUUCAGUU
This 450-nucleotide ribosomal RNA is filed under the name Thalassobacter sp. ini13. RNAcentral describes it as "bacterial SSU rRNA". It matches the Rfam family "Bacterial small subunit ribosomal RNA", at positions 107 to 593 of the family's 1533-position model. Lineage: Bacteria; Pseudomonadati; Pseudomonadota; Alphaproteobacteria; Rhodobacterales; Roseobacteraceae. The record is from RNAcentral.